RNAcentral lists this transfer RNA (63 nucleotides) under Tuxedo susansolomonae. Its description in RNAcentral is "tRNA-Asn". Lineage: Eukaryota; Metazoa; Arthropoda; Insecta; Hemiptera; Miridae. The record is from RNAcentral. RNAcentral also lists the same sequence under 1 other name.
UUAGUUAAAGCCAAAAAGAGGCCCUUCAUUGUUAAUGAGGAAAUUGAGAGAACUCUAACUAAA